CAGCACCUCAAGUGGUCGGGAUGAUUAUUGGGCCUAAAGCAUCCGUAGCCGGCUCUGUAAGUUUUCGGUUAAAUCUGUACGCUCAACGUACAGGCUGCCGGGAAUACUGCAGAGCUAGGGAGUGGGAGAGGUAGACGGUACUCGGUAGGAAGGGGUAAAAUCCUUUGAUCUAUUGAUGACCACCUGUGGCGAAGGCGGUCUACCAGAACACGUCCGACGGUGAGGGAUGAAAGCUGGGGGAGCAAACCGGAUUAGAUACCCGAGUAGUCC
RNAcentral lists this ribosomal RNA (270 nucleotides) under uncultured archaeon. RNAcentral's name for it is "partial 16S ribosomal RNA". It matches the Rfam family "Archaeal small subunit ribosomal RNA", at positions 477 to 747 of the family's 1478-position model. The record is from RNAcentral.